UCCACAGUGGCAGAUUAGUGCGUUAGAUUUAAGCUCUAAACAUAAGAGUAGUUUCUCUUCUAUGGAA
RNAcentral lists this transfer RNA (67 nucleotides) under Leptodora kindtii. RNAcentral describes it as "tRNA-Leu". Lineage: Eukaryota; Metazoa; Arthropoda; Branchiopoda; Diplostraca; Leptodoridae. The record is from RNAcentral.